RNAcentral lists this long non-coding RNA (223 nucleotides) under Nicotiana benthamiana. Its description in RNAcentral is "long non-coding RNA (NBEN_LNC016088)". Lineage: Eukaryota; Viridiplantae; Streptophyta; Magnoliopsida; Solanales; Solanaceae. The record is from RNAcentral.
UGGCCGUUCAUGAUUGCAUAAGGCUGAGGAGUAUAGUGCAUGUCUUGGUGAGGAUAAUAAUAUGUUGAGAUGCCCUUUCUGAGAAUGCGGGUCUGUGAGCAUGAUGUUUUCUCAUCCCGGAGGCGGCCAUGGACACUUCCUCUUUCUUCUUGUUUCUUGGGAUCCCUCCCGCCCCGCUUUGUAUGGCCUGGGAGGUUUCUCUUAUGGCGGAUUGACUCAAAAU